Non-coding RNA from Triticum aestivum (bread wheat), 114 nucleotides. The record is from Rfam. NCBI's taxonomy places the organism in Eukaryota, Viridiplantae, Streptophyta, Magnoliopsida, Poales, Poaceae.
CACAUACCCUCUCUGUCCGAAAAAGCUUGUCCCUCAAAUGAAUGUAUCUAGCACUAACUUGGUGCUAGAUACAUUCAUUUGAUGGACAAGUUUUUCGGACGGAGGGAGUAGUUG